Molecule: long non-coding RNA, 1574 nt
Filed under: Mus caroli (Ryukyu mouse)
Lineage: Eukaryota; Metazoa; Chordata; Mammalia; Rodentia; Muridae
Description: lncRNA (MGP_CAROLIEiJ_G0013616.1)
Source: RNAcentral
GUUUCCUGUCGCGUGGAUGUGUUUCCUCUCUGGCCGUUGCCAUCCGCUCAAAUCUACAGGCAUCCCGCAUGUUCCCGGGCUCGUCUCCCCAAUACAGGGCACCAAGCAUCCUACCAAGGCGAAUCCAUUGACCCGGGUUUAAGUUGAGGACUCCCCCAGGACCCCGAGUGCAGCAUCUGGAUCCCCCUGCCCUGCCCUGCCCUGCCCUGCCUUGCGCUGCAGCCACUUCCGUUGUCCUGCCAGGCUGUAGACUGCGCAGACCUCCUGGAGACAGAUGGAAGUUCCUUGGGUCGACAGAUUACAGCUUCUGGAGCCCCCGACUCCCUUCAACUCCGUGAUGGACACCCACUGUCCAGGGAGAGGAUGCCUGGAAAUAACAGCCGGGAUCUACAGUGGCCAUAAGAGUUGUCUCUGUCUUGCUACAUAGACAAACUGGUGUUCCUGAGUGAGGAUUGUGCCCUGAGAUGGGGGAUUCAGUUUCUUCAUUUAUAGUUGGAAGUGUGUGAAGGUAAGCCACUUGGGAAGGGUUUUUCUCUCCACUCUGUGACAACAGGCAAGAGUGAGGGUCCAACAAUACAGAGGAAGUGACGUGUCGCUGCUACUCUUCCAUGCCCAGUGCCAGGAGCGACGGUACACUCCAGAGUGCUGUGCCCUGAUGGGCCUUUGAGCGGCCAGUGCAGUGGAUCAUCAGCCCUGUCUCCCAAGAGCUCCAGUCCCUUCUCCGGGGAGGAAGUGGGUCCACUGGCAGCUCAGGAGGCCAUAGCAGGAUUGUCACGUGUGCUCAACAGUCCUCGGCUUUCCAGAAGAUGCUGGAACAGGGCCCUUGAAGAUGUUUGUGGACACCAGAGGGCCAAAGAAGACAAAGUGAAACUGGAGACACCGCCCCCCUUGGCAUCAUGAAACUGCCGAUUUUACUGGCUCAUGCAUGGGAGACACCAGCAUACAAAGUCUUGACACCAACACCUCAGAGGGCUGUGUUCUGUCCCCGUGACCAUCAGCCAGUGCCUGGAAAGACUAGUGACAAGAACUUGUUGCCAACUUCCUCUUACCUCCCUAACAGUUGUGCAUGCAAUAAACCCCAUAGGUUAAUUCAGUCUGCCUUUUAAAUCUGUGUCAAGCCAUGAACUCAGCUGGGUGUGGAAAAGGAGACUAGCUCCUGACACGCCUGUGACUUUCCUGUUCUUGAUGCCCCCUGAGGCUUGGGCUUCAGGGUGUUGGGAGUGGACAAGUAGGGCUGGUAGCCUCAGAUUUUAGGGCUUGUGAGAGUUGAGAUAGCUGAACAGGCAAGGUCAGAACUUGGGGAAGGUGCCUGUGUCAGUAAAAAAGGCUGGGGUGUCACAGUCCUAGGAAGUGACGUAUCAUUGCUGAGAACUAGGGAUGUGAAUGGGUAAAUGGACUGGAAUAUAAAAUGUAGAGCAUUUUCCUGACAGGACAGGUGACUGUAGACAGGAACUAGGGUAUGCUUAGGGACUGGCUUUGGAGGACCUUAAGGAACAGAAAGAAGUACUGUGGGUGGGAUGUCAGGUGGGGAGAAAGAAGAAACCCCCUUGAGUAACUUGGAUACCAAUAGGGCC